This 292-nucleotide ribosomal RNA is filed under the name Paenibacillus sp. 4918. RNAcentral's name for it is "partial 16S ribosomal RNA". It matches the Rfam family "Bacterial small subunit ribosomal RNA", at positions 34 to 312 of the family's 1533-position model. Lineage: Bacteria; Bacillati; Bacillota; Bacilli; Caryophanales; Paenibacillaceae. The record is from RNAcentral.
CGCUGGCGGCGUGCCUAAUACAUGCAAGUCGAGCGGAGUUGAUGAGGUGCUUGCACCUCUGAUGCUUAGCGGCGGACGGGUGAGUAACACGUAGGUAACCUGCCUGUGAGACUGGGAUAACUACCGGAAACGGUAGCUAAUACCGGAUAAUUUAUUUCUUCUCCUGGGGAGAUAAUGAAAGACGGAGCAAUCUGUCACUUACAGAUGGGCCUGCGGCGCAUUAGCUAGUUGGUGAGGUAACGGCUCACCAAGGCGACGAUGCGUAGCCGACCUGAGAGGGUGAACGGCCACA